Molecule: non-coding RNA, 180 nt
Filed under: Mariprofundales bacterium
Lineage: Bacteria; Pseudomonadati; Pseudomonadota; Candidatius Mariprofundia; Mariprofundales
Description: 6S RNA
Rfam family: 6S / SsrS RNA
About the family: E. coli 6S RNA was the first non coding RNA to be sequenced, but its function was unknown until recently. It consists of 184 nucleotides that fold into an extended hairpin structure with a large single-stranded internal bulge.
Source: RNAcentral
GCGCCCCUGCGCUGAUCGAGUGGCCUUAAGUUGCCAGAGCCGAUAGCAAGUCGAUAGGGAGCUUAUAUAUUCUAAGUGUGUGAUUCCCGCCCGCUCGGGAAACCUAAUCUUAGAAUGCAGCACCCACCUCCGACAGAGGGUUCGACAACGCUUGUGCCGAAUCGUCAGUGCGGGGGCGCU